Molecule: ribosomal RNA, 253 nt
Filed under: uncultured bacterium
Lineage: Bacteria
Description: partial 16S ribosomal RNA
Rfam family: Bacterial small subunit ribosomal RNA
Source: RNAcentral
UACGGGGGGGGCAAGCGUUGUUCGGAAUUACUGGGCGUAAAGGGCUCGUAGGCGGCCAACUAAGUCAGACGUGAAAUCCCUCGGCUUAACCGGGGAACUGCAUCUGAUACUGGACGGCUUGAGUUCGGGAGAGGGAUGCGGAAUUCCAGGUGUAGCGGUGAAAUGCGUAGAUAUCUGGAGGAACACCGGUGGCGAAGGCGGCAUCCUGGACCGACACUGACGCUGAGGAGCGAAAGCCAGGGGAGCAAACGGG